Molecule: ribosomal RNA, 486 nt
Filed under: uncultured bacterium
Lineage: Bacteria
Description: partial 16S ribosomal RNA
Rfam family: Bacterial small subunit ribosomal RNA
Source: RNAcentral
GAUGAACGCUGGCGGCGUGCCUAACACAUGCAAGUCGAACGGAGAUUACGGACGGAAGUUUUCGGAUGGAAGACUGUAAUUCUUAGUGGCGGACGGGUGAGUAACGCGUGGGCAACCUGCCCUUUACAGGGGGAUAGCAGCUGGAAACGGCUGGUAAGACCGCAUAAGUCGGCGAGACCGCAUGGUUUUGCCGGGAAAUGAGCAAUCAGGUAUAGGAUGGGCUCGCGUCCGAUCAGCCAGUUGGCGGGGUAGAGGCCUACCAAGGCAACGAUCGGUAGCCGGCCUGAGAGGGGGACCGGCCACAGUGGGACUGAGAUACGGCCCAGACUCAUACGGGAGGCAGCAGUGGGGAAGAGUGCACAAGGGGCGGAAGCCUGAUGCAGCAACGCCGCGUGCGGGAGGACGGCCUUCGGGUUGUAAACCGCUUCCGCCUGUGACGAAGCGUGAGUGACGGUAAUGGGUAAAGAAGCACCGGCUAACUACGUG